RNAcentral lists this ribosomal RNA (20 nucleotides) under Gambierdiscus sp. C-1. RNAcentral describes it as "partial 18S rRNA". Lineage: Eukaryota; Dinophyceae; Gonyaulacales; Pyrocystaceae. The record is from RNAcentral. RNAcentral also lists the same sequence under 9 other names.
AACCUGCGGAAGGAUCAUUU